This is a long non-coding RNA of Tachyglossus aculeatus (Australian echidna), 294 nucleotides long. RefSeq lists it as uncharacterized. The record is from RefSeq and is a predicted model, not a curated record. Lineage: Eukaryota; Metazoa; Chordata; Mammalia; Monotremata; Tachyglossidae. The transcript has 3 exons.
GAAAAAAAUACAACUACAUAUCAUCUUCCCUCUUUGUUUUCCCCAAACGGUGCUGCCUCGAACCCAAACACGAGCAGUCGGAUAACAAGCGUGGGAAGGCUUUAGGAAGAAUAACCUGAAGAAGCUUCAGUACCUUUCACACGAAUCUCCAGACACAUCUGACCAGCGUUGAAGUUCUUCCUUUGCUGAGUGGAGCCAAUCCGUAUAUUCAUGAACCGCAUCCAGAGCUCCUUGGACGUUUCCGUGAGAUGAUGAAGAGCCCCCGUGUGUUCCUCAGCCUCGGAUACAAUGGCC